Molecule: unclassified non-coding RNA, 404 nt
Filed under: soil metagenome
Description: partial contains 5.8S ribosomal RNA, internal transcribed spacer 2, and large subunit ribosomal RNA
Rfam family: 5.8S ribosomal RNA (bases 1-122)
Source: RNAcentral
GAUGAAGAACGUAGCAAAAUGCGAUACUUGGUGUGAAUUGCAGAAUCCCGUGAACCAUCGAGUUUUUGAACGCAAGUUGCGCCCGAAGCCUUUUGGCCGAGGGCACGUCUGCCUGGGCGUCACGCAUCGCGUCGCCCCCCACAAUUCUCCGUAAAAGGAACAUGUGUUUUGGGGGCGGAUAUUGGUCUCCCGUGCUCAUGGCGUGGUUGGCCGAAAUAGGAGUCCUUUCGAUGGACGCACGAACUAGUGGUGGUCGUAAAAACCCUCGUCUUUUGUUUCGUGCUGUUGCUCGCAAGGUAAACUCUUUAAAAACCCCAAUGUGUCGUCUCUUGACGACGCUUCGACCGCGACCCCAGGUCAGGCGGGACUACACGCUGAGUUUAAGCAUAUCAAUAAGCGGAGGA